AACGCGAAGAACCUUACCUGGGUUUGACAUCCCAUGAAAAGCGCAGAGAUGCGUAAUAGUCGCAAGACACAUGGAGACAGGUGCUGCAUGGCUGUCGUCAGCUCGUGUCGUGAGAUGUUGGGUUAAGUCCCGCAACGAGCGCAACCCUUUCCCUUAUUUGCCAGCAUUUAGUUGGGCACUAUAGGGGUACUGCCGAUGAUAAAUCGGAGGAAGGUGGGGACGAGGUCAAGUCAUCAUGGCCCUUAUGUCCAGGGCAACACACGUACUACAAUGGCCAAGACAAAGCGAAGCAAUAUCGAAAGAUGGAGCCAAUCGCAAAAACAUGGUCUCAGUUCGGAUUGUGGUCUGCAACUCGACCACAUGAAGUUGGAAUCUCUAGUAAUCGCAGAUCAGCAGGCUGCGGUGAAUACGUUCCCGGGCCUUGUACACACCGGAGUGC
Molecule: ribosomal RNA, 439 nt
Filed under: uncultured bacterium
Lineage: Bacteria
Description: bacterial SSU rRNA
Rfam family: Bacterial small subunit ribosomal RNA
Source: RNAcentral